This 325-nucleotide ribosomal RNA is filed under the name uncultured bacterium. RNAcentral's name for it is "bacterial SSU rRNA". It matches the Rfam family "Bacterial small subunit ribosomal RNA", at positions 179 to 500 of the family's 1533-position model. The record is from RNAcentral.
UUAUAGAGGGGCAUCCUGAUAUAAUCAAAGCAGCGAUGUGGUUAAGGAUGGGCAUGCGUCCCAUUAGCUAGUUGGCGAGGUAACGGCUCACCAAGGCGACGAUGGGUAGGGGUUCUGAGAGGAAGGUCCCCCACACUGGUACUGAGACACGGACCAGACUCCUACGGGAGGCAGCAGUAAGGAAUAUUGGGCAAUGGUCGGAAGACUGACCCAGCCAUGCCGCGUGCAGGAAGAAGGCCCUAUGGGUUGUAAACUGCUUUAGCCAGGGGCUAAACCUACCGAUGCGUUGGUAGCUGAAGGUACCUGGAGAAUAAGCAUCGGCUAA